AGUGGCGGACGGGUGAGUAACGCGUGAGAAUCUGCCUUGGGGUCGGGGACAACCACUGGAAACGGUGGCUAAUACCGGAUAAGCCGAUUGGUGAAAGAUUUAUUGCCCGAAGAGGAGCUCGCGUCUGAUUAGCUAGUUGGUGAGGUAAGAGCUCACCAAGGCAGCGAUCAGUAGCUGGUCUGAGAGGACGAUCAGCCACACUGGGACUGAGACACGGCCCAGACUCCUACGGGAGGCAGCAGUGGGGAUUUUCCGCAAUGGGCGAAAGCCUGACGGAGCAAGACCGCGUGAGGGAGGAAGGCUCUUGGGUUGUAAACCUCUUUUCUCAGGGAAGAAGCUCUGACGGUACCUGAGGAAUCAGCCUCGGCUAACUCCGUGCCAGCAGCCGCGGUAAUACGGAGGAGGCAAGCGUUAUCCGGAAUUAUUGGGCGUAAAGCGUCCGCAGGUGGCGAUUCAAGUCUGCUGUCAAAGCACGGGGCUUAACUCCGUAAAGGCAGUGGAAACUGAAUAGCUAGAGUGCCGUAGGGGUAGAGGGAAUUCCCGGUGUAGCGGUGAAAUGCGUAGAGAUCGAGAAGAACAUCGGUGGCGAAAGCGCUCUACUGGACGGCAACUGACACUCAGGGACGAAAGCUAGGGGAGCGAAUGGGAUUAGAUACCCC
This 659-nucleotide ribosomal RNA is filed under the name uncultured bacterium. RNAcentral's name for it is "bacterial SSU rRNA". It matches the Rfam family "Bacterial small subunit ribosomal RNA", at positions 94 to 788 of the family's 1533-position model. The record is from RNAcentral.